Molecule: non-coding RNA, 71 nt
Organism: Danio rerio (zebrafish)
Lineage: Eukaryota; Metazoa; Chordata; Actinopteri; Cypriniformes; Danionidae
Source: Rfam
GCAUUGGUGGUUCAGUGGUAGAAUUCUCCCCUCCUACGCAGGAGACCCGGAUUCGAUUACCGGGCAAUGCA